Molecule: non-coding RNA, 125 nt
Organism: Agelaius phoeniceus (red-winged blackbird)
Lineage: Eukaryota; Metazoa; Chordata; Aves; Passeriformes; Icteridae
Source: RefSeq, a predicted model, not a curated record
UCACGGAGAGAAGUCAAGGGAAGCUUUCAAACCUUGGAGGCUGAAGUGGUUUUCAGGCAGUGUCUCCACUGCAGUGCUGUGCAGCCAUGAAGGAAGUCAACGGCUUGAAACUCUGAAAAACAAAC